GACGAACGCUGGCGGCGUGCCUAAUACAUGCAAGUUGAGCGCUGAAGGUUGGUACUUGUACCAACUGGAUGAGCAGCGAACGGGUGAGUAACGCGUGGGGAAUCUGCCUUUGAGCGGGGGACAACAUUUGGAAACGAAUGCUAAUACCGCAUAAAAACUUUAAACACAAGUUUUAAGUUUGAAAGAUGCAAUUGCAUCACUCAAAGAUGAUCCCGCGUUGUAUUAGCUAGUUGGUGAGGUAAAGGCUCACCAAGGCGAUGAUACAUAGCCGACCUGAGAGGGUGAUCGGCCACAUUGGGACUGAGACACGGCCCAAACUCCUACGGGAGGCAGCAGUAGGGAAUCUUCGGCGAUGGACGAAAGUCUGACCGAGCAACGCCGCGUGAGUGAAGAAGGGUGUCGGAUCGUAAAACUCUGUUGGUAGAGAAGAACGUUGGUGAGAGUGGAAAGCUCAUCAAGUGACGGUAACUACACAGAAAGGGACGGCUAACUACGUG
RNAcentral lists this ribosomal RNA (497 nucleotides) under uncultured bacterium. Its description in RNAcentral is "partial 16S ribosomal RNA". It matches the Rfam family "Bacterial small subunit ribosomal RNA", at positions 28 to 507 of the family's 1533-position model. The record is from RNAcentral.